UCAGUAACAAGGAUUCAUCCUCGUUUCUGGCAAAUAACGGGGAGAAUCUUUGUCACUAAGU
This 61-nucleotide microRNA precursor is filed under the name Columba livia (rock pigeon). RNAcentral describes it as "Cli-Mir-459_pre stem-loop". The record is from RNAcentral. Lineage: Eukaryota; Metazoa; Chordata; Aves; Columbiformes; Columbidae.